GACGAACGCUGGCGGCGUGCUUAACACAUGCAAGUCGAACGGAAAGGCGCUGCUCUUGUGGGGUGCUCGAGCGGCGAACGGGUGAGUAACACGUGAGUAUCAUGCCCUUGACUUUGGGAUAACUUCAGGAAACUGGGGAUCAUACCGGAUAGGAGAUCCUGCUGCAUGGUGGGGGUUGGUAAGUUUCGGCGGUUGGGGCUAGUCUGGCGGGUUAUGGGCUUGAUUGUGGGGUAGUGGCUUACCACGGCUUUGAAGGAUAGGCGGCAUGAGAGGGUGACCGGCCACAUUGGGACUGAGAUACGGCCCAGACUCGUACGGGAGGCAACGGUGGGGAGUCUUGCGGAGUGGGCGGGAGCCUGAGGCAGCAACGCCGCGUGCGGGAUGCCGGCCUUCGGGUUGUAAACCGCUUUCGCCUGAGACGAAGCGUGAGUGACGGUAAUGGGUAAAGAAGCACCGGCUAACUACGUG
This 468-nucleotide ribosomal RNA is filed under the name uncultured bacterium. Its description in RNAcentral is "partial 16S ribosomal RNA". It matches the Rfam family "Bacterial small subunit ribosomal RNA", at positions 28 to 507 of the family's 1533-position model. The record is from RNAcentral.